Unclassified non-coding RNA from Cricetulus griseus (Chinese hamster), 325 nucleotides. Its record names the gene 7SK. It matches the Rfam family "7SK RNA". Rfam says of the family: 7SK was discovered as an abundant small nuclear RNA in the mid-70s but a possible function has only recently been suggested. Two independent studies have found that 7SK RNA binds the CDK9/cyclin T complex (known as elongation factor P-TEFb). P-TEFb activates transcription by phosphorylating the C-terminal domain of RNA polymerase II. Lineage: Eukaryota; Metazoa; Chordata; Mammalia; Rodentia; Cricetidae. The record is from Ensembl.
GGGUGUGAAGGUGAUCUGUUUGCCACACCUGUCAUCCCAUAUUGACUGUCACCUGCAGACCUGGCUGUCUCGACAAGUGUCCCUUUCCUCCAUUGUCACUCCAUGUGCAUCCCUCGAAAAGCUGUGCAGCUGAGGAAGAGGAUGACCUUCCCUGAGUGGAGGAGGACCAGUCUUCAGUAAAGACUAUACAAGCUGCUGUGCUCCCCUGCUAGAACCUCUAAUCAAGCCCUCAAGGAAUGCCCAUGGGACGGUUCUGGACAAUUAAAUUUAAGGAGUCUACACUGUCACUAAAUGGAGAUUUUGACAUGUGGCUUUUUCAUGGUUG